Molecule: ribosomal RNA, 587 nt
Filed under: Bacillus pumilus
Lineage: Bacteria; Bacillati; Bacillota; Bacilli; Caryophanales; Bacillaceae
Description: bacterial SSU rRNA
Rfam family: Bacterial small subunit ribosomal RNA
Source: RNAcentral
GAUGUUAGCGGCGGACGGGUGAGUAACACGUGGGUAACCUGCCUGUAAGACUGGGAUAACUCCGGGAAACCGGAGCUAAUACCGGAUAGUUCCUUGAACCGCAUGGUUCAAGGAUGAAAGACGGUUUCGGCUGUCACUUACAGAUGGACCCGCGGCGCAUUAGCUAGUUGGUGAGGUAACGGCUCACCAAGGCGACGAUGCGUAGCCGACCUGAGAGGGUGAUCGGCCACACUGGGACUGAGACACGGCCCAGACUCCUACGGGAGGCAGCAGUAGGGAAUCUUCCGCAAUGGACGAAAGUCUGACGGAGCAACGCCGCGUGAGUGAUGAAGGUUUUCGGAUCGUAAAGCUCUGUUGUUAGGGAAGAACAAGUGCAAGAGUAACUGCUUGCACCUUGACGGUACCUAACCAGAAAGCCACGGCUAACUACGUGCCAGCAGCCGCGGUAAUACGUAGGUGGCAAGCGUUGUCCGGAAUUAUUGGGCGUAAAGGGCUCGCAGGCGGUUUCUUAAGUCUGAUGUGAAAGCCCCCGGCUCAACCGGGGGGAGGGUCAUUGGAAACUGGGAAACUUGAGUGCAGAAGAGGAG